RNAcentral lists this ribosomal RNA (107 nucleotides) under bacterium. The record is from RNAcentral.
CUCGGUGCUUUUGGCGGAGUGGGUACACCUGUUCCCAUCUCGAACACAGAAGUUAAGCACUCUAGCGCUGAUGGUAGCCGCAAGGCAAGAGUAAGACGGUGCCGAGU